This 930-nucleotide long non-coding RNA is filed under the name Medicago truncatula (barrel medic). RNAcentral describes it as "lncRNA gene45021". Lineage: Eukaryota; Viridiplantae; Streptophyta; Magnoliopsida; Fabales; Fabaceae. The record is from RNAcentral.
AUUUGACAAAGUUUAUGGGGCUGGAAAUCAAACUUUUAAUUUAUUAUUAUCAAUUUCUUUUAAUUUGUACAUAUAGUCUAUCUAGGAGGUAAACCAUGACAAAACUUAUUGAACAAGAAAUCAAAUAAUUUGAAGGUUAUAUGUAAGGGUGAUAAUAGACCAAAUCGACAGUUGUUUGCGACCUAUCAUACGACAUGUCUAGCCUAGGGAAAGUCUAUCAUUGUGACUUCUUCCCACAACCUCAAUAUCAAGGGAGUCUGCUCACAAAAGUUCAUUGUAAUAAAAAAGCAAGAAGUAAAGAAACAAAACUGUAUUGAAACUGCAAAUAAGACACAAGAGUUUCUAUGUGUAAUGGAUGAUGAGAAAAGUUUAGAUUACAAGCAAAUAUAUAGACAUUAAGCCACAAAUUUGUGUGUUAGGAGUAAGUGUUGUUAAUUACAAGAAACUAUUGGAAUCCGCAAAGUAUAACUCCCAAAUUAUCUUUAGACUAUGGUCGUAAUGUGGCAUUACAUGCACAUGCAAUGUUUUAUGUCUUGUAUUCUUUUGAAAUUUUUUUUUUAUUUUAAAUAAUUCUAUUUUUUCUAUGCAAGUUUUCUGACGAGAAAACUCAAAAUUAAGAAGGCCAAACAUAAAAUAGAAUUAUUAUUAAUAAAGGCCCCACAUAAAAUGAAUACUGAUUGGGGAUAGCUCAAUAAGUUGAGCUAAAGGUUUACAAAGUUAAGAAGUUAAAAGAUAGGGAUUAAGUUUCGGAUAAAUAAUACUUCUUCAGUUUCUUUUUAAGUGUCGUUUUAGGGUGAAUUUUUUGUUCCUAUUUAACUGUCGUUUUGGUAUUUUAAAGUACGAUUUGUCAAUUAUACCAUUUGUCAGUUACUCGUAUCUUUUUCUUUGUUUGAUUACUCUUAUCUUUUUUAAUAAAACUAAUUAAUGCUA